RNAcentral lists this ribosomal RNA (289 nucleotides) under uncultured Erythrobacter sp. Its description in RNAcentral is "partial 16S ribosomal RNA". The record is from RNAcentral. Lineage: Bacteria; Pseudomonadati; Pseudomonadota; Alphaproteobacteria; Sphingomonadales; Erythrobacteraceae.
CUACAGGGGUAUCUAAUCCUGUUUGCUCCCCACGCUUUCGCACCUCAGCGUCAAUAACUGUCCAGUGAGUCGCCUUCGCCACUGGUGUUCUUCCGAAUAUCUACGAAUUUCACCUCUACACUCGGAAUUCCACUCACCUCUCCAGUAUUCUAGCAACCUAGUUUCAAGGGCAGUUCCGGGGUUGAGCCCCGGGAUUUCACCCCUGACUUGGAUCGCCGCCUACGCGCGCUUUACGCCCAGUAAUUCCGAACAACGCUAGCUCCCUCCGUAUUACCGCGGCUGCUGGCAC